GAUUAAGCGGUACUUGUACCAAUUGAGAUUUUAACACGAAGUGAGUGGCGAACGGGUGAGUAACACGUGGGUAACCUGCCCAGAAGUAGGGGAUAACACCUGGAAACAGAUGCUAAUACCGUAUAAUAGAGAAAACCGCAUGGUUUUCUUUUGAAAGAUGGCUCUGCUAUCACUUCUGGAUGGACCCGCGGCGCAUUAGCUAGUUGGUAAGGUAAAGGCUUACCAAGGCAGUGAUGCGUAGCCGACCUGAGAGGGUAAUCGGCCACAUUGGGACUGAGACACGGCCCAGACUCCUACGGGAGGCAGCAGUAGGGAAUCUUCCACAAUGGACGCAAGUCUGAUGGAGCAACGCCGCGUGAGUGAAGAAGGGUUUCGGCUCGUAAAGCUCUGUUGUUAAAGAAGAACGUGGGUGAGAGUAACUGUUCACCCAGUGACGGUAUUUAACCAGAAAGCCACGGCUAACUACGUGCCAGCAGCCGCGGUAAUACGUAGGUGGCAAGCGUUAUCCGGAUUUAUUGGGCGUAAAGCGAGCGCAGGCGGUCUUUUAAGUCUAAUGUGAAAGCCUUCGGCUCAACCGAAGAAGUGCAUUGGAAACUGGGAGACUUGAGUGCAGAAGAGGACAGUGGAACUCCAUGUGUAGCGGUGAAAUGCGUAGAUAUAUGGAAGAACACCAGUGGCGAAGGCGGCUGUCUGGUCUGCAACUGACGCUGAGGCUCGAAAGCAUGGGUAGCGAACAGGAUUAGAUACCCUGGUAGUCCAUGCCGUAAACGAUGAAUGCUAAGUGUUGGAGGGUUUCCGCCCUUCAGUGCUGCAGCUAACGCAUUAAGCAUUCCGCCUGGGGAGUACGACCGCAAGGUUGAAACUCAAAAGAAUUGACGGGGGCCCGCACAAGCGGUGGAGCAUGUGGUUUAAUUCGAAGCUACGCGAAGAACCUUACCAGGUCUUGACAUCUUCUGACAGUCUAAGAGAUUAGAGGUUCCCUUCGGGGACAGAAUGACAGGUGGUGCAUGGUUGUCGUCAGCUCGUGUCGUGAGAUGUUGGGUUAAGUCCCGCAACGAGCGCAACCCUUAUUACUAGUUGCCAGCAUUUAGUUGGGCACUCUAGUGAGACUGCCGGUGACAAACCGGAGGAAGGUGGGGACGACGUCAAAUCAUCAUGCCCCUUAUGACCUGGGCUACACACGUGCUACAAUGGAUGAUACAACGAGUCGCGAAACCGCGAGGUUUAGCUAAUCUCUUAAAAUCAUUCUCAGUUCGGACUGUAGGCUGCAACUCGCCUACACGAAGUCGGAAUCGCUAGUAAUCGCGGAUCAGCAUGCCGCGGGUGAAUACGUUCCCCGGGCCUUGUACACACCGCCCGUCACACCAUGAGAGUUUGUAACACCC
RNAcentral lists this ribosomal RNA (1385 nucleotides) under Pediococcus stilesii. RNAcentral describes it as "bacterial SSU rRNA". It matches the Rfam family "Bacterial small subunit ribosomal RNA", at positions 60 to 1422 of the family's 1533-position model. The record is from RNAcentral. Lineage: Bacteria; Bacillati; Bacillota; Bacilli; Lactobacillales; Lactobacillaceae.